CAGGAGCGACUGAGAGAAAAUAAUCCCCCUUGAACUUUGCUGCUUACAGAAAAAUGGGAGCAGGUAGUUGAGGGGAGAGGGUUCAUGUUGUGACAAAUGAGUGUGUCCACCUGUUUCAGCUUUGGAAACUCCAGAAAUAACCCAACCUACUCCUAGAUUCCUUGUGAAUAUUAGUCCAUUUUCAGCCUAAUUCAGCAGCGAGGACCCAGAUCACAUCACAGAGGCAAGCUGAUGCAAGUUUCAGAGAUCAGCUGAAGCAAGUUCACUUUCACCAAGGAUACCGCUGAUGUCGCAAGUUGUUGGUGAUGCCAAUAUCAGAUGAUCGGAUGAUUGCAGAGUUGACGUUGAAAAUCAGGGAAGAGCCUAUAAACAUCUUGUUACCAACUUACAGAAAACAUUGGAGCAAAACAUGAAUGAAAAUCUUUUAAAGUUGAUGAACUUGUAGUGCUGGAUCUUCAGGGAAGUAAUGGCAAGAUGUAAUGAACUUGGACUGGUCUAACCACCUAUUGGCAAACCAGGCAGCCAGUCUACAUCUUGAUGCCCGAGGUAUGAUGCAUUGACAUAGAAUAAAAUAAUUUCUGUAUAUAAAUCUAGAAAUGAUUUGCUACAUCAGCAAACACUUAACACAUUCAUGUGACAUUAUUUUAAAUAAGUUAACACCUCCAUUAAAAUAGUUGACAGGGGAAUGUCACAUGAAUGCAUUAAGUGCUUGGCCAGUAAUAUCAUCAUCAGUCAUUUCUAGGCUUGUUUUUGAAAGAGUUCCUCAGUGCAUCAGACACAGUGUUACAAAGGAUGUCUUUUUAUUCUGCUAAUAGCCAUUCCCAUUCUUUCUCCAACAGUGUAUUGGUUAAGCAGAGAGAUGACAGACAGGGACCAGUGUAAAUGUUACCAAAUAACAAAAGAUGCAUUUUUGAAAUUCUCCCUCUUUUCCCCAACCCCAAUAAUGUGUUCCAACCUUUUGAAAGCUUUUAUUUAUAAUGUCCUUCAGAGAUGCAGCUAUCUACUAAUCUACUGACAGUUACUGUCUUACAUUACUCCUUACAAAAACGUUUUUUUCUGUAAUCAAGUUUUUGUCAAUUGUGAAAUCAAACAGUCAUUAAAAAACCCUACAACAUGCUUGAAACCAGGA
Molecule: long non-coding RNA, 1129 nt
Organism: Carcharodon carcharias (great white shark)
Lineage: Eukaryota; Metazoa; Chordata; Chondrichthyes; Lamniformes; Lamnidae
Exons: 3
Source: RefSeq, a predicted model, not a curated record